UCACUAUUUAUCAUCUAAAACAGAAAAAUCAUAAAGAAGAUGAGAAUUUUGACCUUGGUUGGGGGCAAUUUCGGAAUUUUGGCUAAAUGUCGACCUUGGUUGGGGUUGUGGCGGUAUUGUGGCUGCCUUGAGGGAAGGAGAAGCUAGCUAGCACCGGUCCAAGAAGCAAUGCGUCCACCAAGUUGAAAAACUGCGAGAUAUUGAAGAAAAAACGAGAGAGAAGUAUCAGCUGUGAAUGGCAGAAAGGUAAACUGUGAAGGGUAUAUGCGUUUAGCAUUAGCGGCGACGGCUAUUAGCGGCGACGUAGGGCAAUAGCGGCGACAUUAGGGCAUUAGCGGCGACACACGGAGGGAAAACAUUAAGUUGAUUUUACAAUUAAUUUAUUAUUUUUUAAUGUUUUUUUAAAUUAAUUUAAUUUUAUUCUAUUUAAAUUAAAAUUACUAGAAAUACAUUGCUAUUAAUAACCUAAUUAAAGCUAAAGUUGUAAUGACCAACAUUAAGUCACUAAAAGUAUGUUGCUAUUAAGUUGGUCAAACAUUAAGUCACUAACAAAAUUAAGCACUUUCAAACCAUAUACAAUACAUUACUAGAAGUAAGUUGCUAUUAAUAGCCUAAUUAAGCUAAAUGUAUACAUCCAAUUUCAUAUUUCAAUAACCUAAUUAAGCUAAAUGCAUAUUUCAAUUUCAUCCAAUUUCAUACAAUUAAGCCAAAUGUAUAUAUAUUCAAUUUCAUACAAUUUGCAUAUUCCAAUUUAAUCCAAUUUGCAUAUUCCAAUUUCAUACAAAUAUAUACAUCUAAGUUUCAUGUUAAGGCAAUGUGGUAUAACUUCAAUGUAAUCUAAACAUAAAUUUCAACAAAAUACAUACAAUCCAACAAAAUUCCCACAAAUGUGAACAAAACACACAUAAUAAUUCAACAAUCCAACAAAAUGCAUAACCAACAAAAUACAUACAAUCCAACAAAAUGCAUAACCAAUUCAUAUAUCAAAAUACAAACAUAAUCACUCAACAAACUUGAAAAAUACUCACUAUUUAUCAUCUAAAACAGAAAAAUCAUAAAGAAGAUGAGAAUUUUGACCUUGGUUGGGGGCAAUUUCGGAAUUUUGGCUAAAUGUCGACCUUGGUUGGGGUUGUGGCGGUAUUGUGGCUGCCUUGAGGGAAGGAGAAGCUAGCUAGCACCGGUCCAAGAAGCAAUGCGUCCACCAAGUUGAAAAUUUGCGAGAUAUUGAAGAAAAAACGAGAGAAAAAUUGUUAUGUGUAUAAGCUGUGAAUGGCAGAAAGGUAAACUGUGAAGGGUAUAUGCGUUUAGCAUUAGCGGCGACAGCUAUUAGCGGCGACGAAGGGUAAUAGCGGCGACAUUAGGGCAUUAGCGGCGACACACGGAGGG
This 1386-nucleotide long non-coding RNA is filed under the name Lactuca sativa (garden lettuce). RNAcentral's name for it is "long non-coding RNA (LSAT_LNC002420)". Lineage: Eukaryota; Viridiplantae; Streptophyta; Magnoliopsida; Asterales; Asteraceae. The record is from RNAcentral.